AAAGUAAGAAAGGGCGUAUGGCGGAUGCCUAGGCUCACAGAGGCGAUGAAGGACGUGAUAAGCUGCGAUAAGCUUCGGGUAGGUGCAAAUAACCUUUGAUCCGAGGAUUUCCGAAUGGGACAACCCAUACAUUUGAAGAAUGUAUAUCUCUACCUAAGGUAGAGAGGCAAACCGAGGGAACUGAAACAUCUUAGUACCUCGAGGAAGAGAAAAUAAAUAAUGAUUCCCCCAGUAGUGGCGAGCGACCGGGGAAGAGCCCAAACCGUCGUUGUUUCGGCAUCGGCGGGGUAGUAGGACCGCGAUAUUGUAUGUGUUUUGUGAGUAGAAUGUUCUGGAAAGAACAACCAUAGGAGGUGAAAGUCCUGUAUACGAAGCGAAACAUGGCAUAGCGGUAUCCUGAGUAGCGCGGAGCACGAGGAAUUCUGCGUGAAUCAGCCGGGACCAUCCGGUAAGGCUAAAUACUCCUGUGAGACCGAUAGUGAACGAGUACUGUGAAGGAAAGGUGAAAAGCACUCCGAUGAGGAGAGUGAAAUAGUUCCUGAAACCAUACGCCUACAAGCGGUCGGAGCUCAGCAAUGAGUGACGGCGUGCCUUUUGCAUAAUGAACCUACGAGUUACCGUCUCUGGCAAGGUUUAGUAUCUCAGAUACGUAUCCGCAGUGAAAGCGAGCCUGAAAUGGGCGUAUAGUCAGAGGGGGUAGACGCGAAACCAAGUGAUCUACACUUGGCCAGGUUGAAGUUCCGGUAACACGGAAUGGAGGACCGAACGGAUAAGCGUUGAAAAGCUUCCCGAUGAGCCGAGUGUAGGAGUGAAAGGCCAAUCAAACUUGGAGAUAGCUCGUACUCCCCGAAAUGCAUUUAGGUGCAGCGUGUAUCGAUCCGCAUGAGAGGUAGAGCGACCGAUAGGUCAAGAGGGCUUCACCGCCUAUCGAGACCUGACGAACUCCGAAUGCUCAUGCGCCGCAGAUAUGCAGUAAGGGGGCGGGUGCUAAGGUCCGUCCCCGAGAGGAGAAGAAUCCAGACCGCCAACUAAGGCCCCGAAAUUCUGUCUGAGUUAGUCUAACGAAGUCUGGUCCCUAUGACAGCUAGGAUGUUGGCUUGGAAGCAGCCAUUCAUUCAAAGAGUGCGUAACAGCUCACUAGUCGAGGGUCCGGGCAUGGAUAAUAAUCGGGUAUAAGGCAGAUGCCGAAGUUGCGGGAUAGUAAUAAUAAAAGUAUCGGUAGGGGAGCAUUCCAUCGGCGCAGAAUGCAAAGGAUGACCUUUGCUGGAGCUUAUGGAAAAGCAAAUGUAGGUAUAAGUAACGAUAAAAGGGGUUAGAUUCCCCUUCGCCGCAAGACCAAGGUUUCCCGGGCAAUGCCAAUCAGCCCGGGGUUAGUCAGGUCCUAAGUCUCAGCCGAACGGCGAUGGCGAUGGCAGAAACGGUUAAUAUUCCGUUACUGCCGCAUGGAGUGAUGUGGAGACGGAGCAGUGACACUACCGCGGAGAUACGGAAUUCUCCGUUGAAGGGUGUAGGCGUAGAUUGAGGCAGGCAAAUCCACCUUGAGAGCCGAACCUGAUAGUAUGGAGUCUUCUUCGGAAGAGUCCAAUAGCGUAGGUAAUCAUACUUCCUAGAAAAUCCGCUAAACUUAAUCCAUGCGGCACCUGUACCGCAAACGGACACACGUGGUCGGGUAGAACAUACUAAGGCGUUGAGAGAUUCUUGGUUAAGGAACUAGGCAAAUUGACCCUGUAACUUCGGGAUAAAGGGUCCUCACAGCAAUGUGAGGCGCAGAGAAUAGGUCCAGGCAACUGUUUAACAAAAACACAGGGCUGUGCAAACUCGAAAGAUGAGGUAUACAGCCUGACACCUGCCCGGUGCCGGAAGGUUAAGAGGAGAAGUCAGUAGCAAUAUGAAGC
This 1895-nucleotide ribosomal RNA is filed under the name Prevotella sp. Sc00026. RNAcentral's name for it is "bacterial LSU rRNA". It matches the Rfam family "Bacterial large subunit ribosomal RNA", at positions 1 to 1905 of the family's 2925-position model. The record is from RNAcentral. Lineage: Bacteria; Pseudomonadati; Bacteroidota; Bacteroidia; Bacteroidales; Prevotellaceae.